AGAGUUUGAUCCUGGCUCAGAAUCAACGCUGGCGGCGUGCCUCAGACAUGCAAGUCGAGCGAUUAAAGCUCCCUUCGGGGAGUGUAUAAAGCGGCGUACGGGUGAGUAACACGUAAGUAAUCUACCUUCGAGUGGGGAAUAACACCGAGAAAUCGGUGCUAAUACCGCAUAAUGCAGCGGCACCUAAUGGUGACAGUUGUUAAAGAUUUAUCGCUUGAAGAGGAGCUUGCGGCAGAUUAGCUAGUUGGUAAGGUAAUGGCUUACCAAGGCAACGAUCUGUAUCCGGUCUAAGAGGACGGUCGGACACACUGACACUGAAUAACGGGUCAGACUCCUACGGGAGGCAGCAGUCGGGAAUUUUGGGCAAUGGGCGAAAGCCUGACCCAGCAACGCCGCGUGAAGGAUGAAGUCUUCCGGGAUGUAAACUUCGUAAGAAUAGGAAGAAUAAAUGACGGUACUAUUUGUAAGGUCCGGCUAACUACGUGCCAGCAGCCGCGGUAAUACGUAGGGACCAAGCGUUGUUCGGAUUUACUGGGCGUAAAGGGCGCGUAGGCGGCGUGUUAAGUCACUUGUGAAAUCUCUAAGCUUAACUUAGAACGGUCAAGUGAUACUGAUGUGCUAGAGUGCAGAAGGGGCAACCGGAAUUCUUGGUGUAGCGGUGAAAUGCGUAGAUAUCAAGAGGAACACCGGAGGUGAAGACGGGUUGCUGGGCUGACACUGACGCUGAGGCGCGAAAGCUAGGGUAGCAAACGGGAUUAGAUACCCCGGUAGUCCUAGCCCUAAACGAUGAAUACUUGGUGUCUGGAGUUCUUUUCUCCGGGUGCCGUCGCUAACGUUUUAAGUAUUCCGCCUGGGGAGUACGCACGCAAGUGUGAAACUCAAAGGAAUUGACGGAAGGGCGAAUUCCAG
RNAcentral lists this ribosomal RNA (909 nucleotides) under uncultured bacterium. RNAcentral describes it as "bacterial SSU rRNA". It matches the Rfam family "Bacterial small subunit ribosomal RNA", at positions 8 to 931 of the family's 1533-position model. The record is from RNAcentral.